GAUGAAGAACGUAGCGAAAUGCGAUAAGUAAUGUGAAUUGCAGAAUUCAGUGAAUCAUCGAAUCUUUGAACGCACAUUGCGCCCGCCAGUAUUCUGGCGAGCAUGCCUGUUCGAGCGUCAUUUCAACCAUCAAGCCCCAGGCUUGUGAUGGAGCCCUGCGGCUGCCGCAGCCUCCCAAAACCAGUGGCGGGCUCGCUAUCACACCGAGUGCAGUAGUUUACUCUUCGCUCAGGGCGUGUGGCGGGUGCUAGCCGUGAAACCCCCAACUUCUCAAGGUUGACCUCGGAUCAGGUAGGAAUACCCGCUGAACUUAAGCAUAUCAAUAAGCGGAGGA
This 334-nucleotide unclassified non-coding RNA is filed under the name soil metagenome. Its description in RNAcentral is "partial contains 5.8S ribosomal RNA, internal transcribed spacer 2, and large subunit ribosomal RNA". The stretch from base 1 to 120 matches the Rfam family "5.8S ribosomal RNA", at positions 35 to 154 of the family's 154-position model. The record is from RNAcentral.